RNAcentral lists this unclassified non-coding RNA (331 nucleotides) under soil metagenome. RNAcentral describes it as "partial contains 5.8S ribosomal RNA, internal transcribed spacer 2, and large subunit ribosomal RNA". The stretch from base 1 to 120 matches the Rfam family "5.8S ribosomal RNA", at positions 35 to 154 of the family's 154-position model. The record is from RNAcentral.
GAUGAAGAACGCAGUGAAAUGCGAUAAGUAAUGUGAAUUGCAGAAUUCAGUGAAUCAUCGAAUCUUUGAACGCACAUUGCGCCCCCUGGUAUUCCGGGGGGCAUGCCUGUUCGAGCGUCAUUUCACCACUCAAGCCUCGCUUGGUAUUGGGCAACGCGGUCCGCCGCGUGCCUCAAAUCGACCGGCUGGGUCUUCUGUCCCCUAAGCGUUGUGGAAACUAUUCGCUAAAGGGUGCUCGGGAGGCUACGCCGUAAAACAAACCCAUUUCUAAGGUUGACCUCGGAUCAGGUAGGGAUACCCGCUGAACUUAAGGAUAUCAAUAAGCGGAGGA